This 817-nucleotide ribosomal RNA is filed under the name uncultured bacterium. Its description in RNAcentral is "bacterial SSU rRNA". It matches the Rfam family "Bacterial small subunit ribosomal RNA", at positions 50 to 896 of the family's 1533-position model. The record is from RNAcentral.
AACACAUGCAAGUCGAGCGAACUUCUUCGGAAGUGAGCGGCGGACGGGUGAGUAACGCGUGGGUAACCUACCCUAUACACACGGAUAACGUACCGAAAGGUACGCUAAUACGAGAUAACAUAUUUUUAUCGCAUGAUAAGAAUAUCAAAGCUCCGGCGGUAUAGGAUGGACCCGCGUCUGAUUAGCUAGUUGGUAAGGUAACGGCUUACCAAGGCGACGAUCAGUAGCCGACCUGAGAGGGUGAUCGGCCACAUUGGAACUGAGACACGGUCCAAACUCCUACGGGAGGCAGCAGUGGGGAAUAUUGCACAAUGGGCGAAAGCCUGAUGCAGCAACGCCGCGUGAGCGAUGAAGGCCUUCGGGUCGUAAAGCUCUGUCCUCAAGGAAGAUAAUGACGGUACUUGAGGAGGAAGCCCCGGCUAACUACGUGCCAGCAGCCGCGGUAAUACGUAGGGGGCUAGCGUUAUCCGGAAUUACUGGGCGUAAAGGGUGCGUAGGUGGUUUCUUAAGUCAGAGGUGAAAGGCUACGGCUCAACCGUAGUAAGCCUUUGAAACUGAGAAACUUGAGUGCAGGAGAGGAGAGUAGAAUUCCUAGUGUAGCGGUGAAAUGCGUAGAUAUUAGGAGGAAUACCAGUUGCGAAGGCGGCUCUCUGGACUGUAACUGACACUGAGGCACGAAAGCGUGGGGAGCAAACAGGAUUAGAUACCCUGGUAGUCCACGCCGUAAACGAUGAGUACUAGCUGUCGGAGGUUACCCCCUUCGGUGGCGCAGCUAACGCAUUAAGUACUCCGCCUGGGAAGUACGCUCGCAAGAGUG